AUUAACGCUGGCGGCAUGCUUUACACAUCAUGUCGAACGGUACAGGCCGCAAGGGUGCUGACGAGUGGCGAACGGGUGAGUAAUGCAUCGGAACGUGCCCAGUCGUGGGGGAUAACGCAGCGAAAGCUGUGCUAAUACCGCAUACGAUCUAUGGAUGAAAGCGGGGGACCGUAAGGCCUCGCGCGAUUGGAGCGGCCGAUGUCAGAUUAGGUAGUUGGUGGGGUAAAGGCCCACCAAGCCAACGAUCUGUAGCUGGUCUGAGAGGACGACCAGCCACACUGGGACUGAGACACGGCCCACGACUCCUACGGGAGGCAGCAGUGGGGAAUUUUGGACCAAUGGGCGCAAGCCUGAUCCAGCAAUGCCGCGUGCAGGAAGAAGGCCUUCGGGUUGUAAACUGCUUUUGUACGGAACGAAAAGGUCCUGGCUAAUACCCGGGGCUCAUGACGGUACCGUAAGAAUAAGCACCGGCUAACUACGUGCCAGCAGCCGCGGUAAUACGUAGGGUGCAAGCGUUAAUCGGAAUUACUGGGCGUAAAGCGUGCGCAGGCGGUUGUGUAAGACAGGCG
Molecule: ribosomal RNA, 569 nt
Filed under: uncultured Hydrogenophaga sp.
Lineage: Bacteria; Pseudomonadati; Pseudomonadota; Betaproteobacteria; Burkholderiales; Comamonadaceae
Description: bacterial SSU rRNA
Rfam family: Bacterial small subunit ribosomal RNA
Source: RNAcentral